AUUGAACGCUGGCGGCAGGCCUAACACAUGCAAGUCGAGCGAGCGGAGGACGGGUGAGUAAUGUAUGGGAACCUGCCUGAUGGAGGGGGAUAACUACUGGAAACGGUAGCUAAUACCGCAUACCAUCAGAUGUGCCGAGAUGGGAUUAGCUAGUAGGGGGGGUAAUGGCUCACCUAGGCGACGAUCCCUAGCUGGUACGGGAGGAUGACCAGCCACCCGGGAACUGGGACAGGGUCCAGCCCCCUACGUGAGGCAGCAGUGGGAAAUAUUGCACAAUGGGGGCAAGCCUGAUGCGGCCAUGCCGCGUGUGUGAAGAGGGCCUUCGGGUUGUAAAGCACUUUCAGCGAGGAGACGUUACUCGCCGAAGAAGCACCGGCUAACUCCGUGCCAGCAGCGCGGUAAUAC
Molecule: ribosomal RNA, 405 nt
Filed under: uncultured bacterium
Lineage: Bacteria
Description: partial 16S ribosomal RNA
Rfam family: Bacterial small subunit ribosomal RNA
Source: RNAcentral